GCUUCAAUUGCCGGCGACCGGCGCACGGGUGCGUAACGCGUAUGUAACCUACCUAUAACAGGGGCAUAACACUGAGAAAUUGGUACUAAUUCCCCAUAAUAUUCGGAGAGGCAUCUCUCCGGGUUGAAAACUCCGGUGGUUAUAGAUGGACAUGCGUUGUAUUAGCUAGUUGGUGAGGUAACGGCUCACCAAGGCAACGAUACAUAGGGGGACUGAGAGGUUAACCCCCCACACUGGUACUGAGACACGGACCAGACUCCUACGGGAGGCAGCAGUGAGGAAUAUUGGUCAAUGGACGCAAGUCUGAACCAGCCAUGCCGCGUGCAGGAAGACGGCUCUAUGAGUUGUAAACUGCUUUUGUACGAGGGUAAACUCACCUACGUGUAGGUGACUGAAAGUAUCGUACGAAUAAGGAUCGGCUAACUCCGUGCCAGCAGCCGCGGUAAUACGGAGGAUUCAAGCGUUAUCCGGAUUUCUUGGGUUUAAAGGGUGCGUAGGCGGUUUGAUAAGUUAGAGGUGAAAUCCCGGGGCUUAACUCCGGAACUGCCUCUAAUACUGUUAGACUAGAGAGUAGUUGCGGUAGGCGGAAUGUAUGGUGUAGCGGUGAAAUGCUUAGAGAUCAUACAGAACACCGAUUGCGAAGGCAGCUUACCAAACUAUAUCUGAC
RNAcentral lists this ribosomal RNA (667 nucleotides) under uncultured Bacteroidales bacterium. RNAcentral's name for it is "bacterial SSU rRNA". It matches the Rfam family "Bacterial small subunit ribosomal RNA", at positions 77 to 744 of the family's 1533-position model. Lineage: Bacteria; Pseudomonadati; Bacteroidota; Bacteroidia; Bacteroidales. The record is from RNAcentral.